CGGAUUGCGGGUUUUGAACCCGAAAAGUUGGAGACUGGAACAAUAAAGCCUUUGUGCAUGCCCCUUUUGACUUUGUACAAGAGUGGAUUAGCGGUUUAUUUGAGGUGUCGGUUGAGACACCGGCGAGUCCAGGAGGCAGCAGCCAUGAAAGCAGUGAGCAAGGUUUGAGAUCCAGCAUCCACGAACAAGAGAGAGAUGAGAUCGAGCGCCAACAAGAGUGGAUUAGCAGUUUCUUUAAGGUGUCGGUUGAGGCACCAACGAGUCGAGGAGGUGGCAGCCAUGAGAGUAGCGAGCAAGGUUUGAGAUCCAGCAUCCAAGAACAAGAGAGAAAUGAGAUCAAAUUUGAUGAGAGAUGAGAGAUAAGGUUGAAUUUGAUGGUGCCAAAGAUUGUUUGUUGCUUUUGAUGAUGAAUUGACAAUGAUUUAAAUUGAUGUUGAGGAUGAUAUUGAUUUUAUUAUUGUUGAUAAUGAAUUGACGAUGGGUGGAUGAUGAUGAAUUGAAUUGAUGUUGAGGAAGAGGAAAAUAAAGGUGGCGGCUGGGGUGGGGAUUU
This 550-nucleotide long non-coding RNA is filed under the name Citrus x clementina. RNAcentral's name for it is "Citrus clementina (C. clementina) long non-coding RNA (CCLE_LNC002610)". The record is from RNAcentral. Lineage: Eukaryota; Viridiplantae; Streptophyta; Magnoliopsida; Sapindales; Rutaceae.